UACAGACGGUCCAAACGUUAUUCGGAAUCACCGGGCUUAAAGAGUUCGUAGGCGGUCAGGUAAGUGGGGUGUGAAAGCCCUCGGCUUAACCGAGGAAUUGCGCUCCAAACUCCCUGACUUGAGGAGGCUAGAGGUAAGCGGAACUGAUGGUGGAGCGGUGAAAUGCGUUGAUAUCAUCAGGAACACCGGAGGCGAAGGCGGCUUACUGGGGCCUUUCUGACGCUGAGGAACGAAAGCUAGGGGAGCGAACGGG
RNAcentral lists this ribosomal RNA (253 nucleotides) under uncultured bacterium. Its description in RNAcentral is "partial 16S ribosomal RNA". It matches the Rfam family "Bacterial small subunit ribosomal RNA", at positions 524 to 776 of the family's 1533-position model. The record is from RNAcentral.